UGCGAAAAGCGUCGGUAAGGUGAUAUGAACCGUUACAGCCGGCGAUGUCCGAAUGGGGAAACCCAGUGUGAUUCGUCACACUAUCGUUAACUGAAUACAUAGGUUAACGAGGCGAACCGGGGGAACUGAAACAUCUAAGUACCCCGAGGAAAAGAAAUCAACCGAGAUUCCCCCAGUAGCGGCGAGCGAACGGGGAGCAGCCCAGAGUCUGAAUCAGCUUGUGUGUUAGUGGAACGGUCUGGAAAGUCCGACGGUACAGGGUGAUAGUCCCGUACACCAAAAUGCACAGGCUGUGAACUCGAAGAGUAGGGCGGGACACGUGGUAUCCUGUCUGAAUAUGGGGGGACCAUCCUCCAAGGCUAAAUACUCCUGACUGACCGAUAGUGAACCAGUACCGUGAGGGAAAGGCGAAAAGAACCCCGGCGAGGGGAGUGAAAAAGAACCUGAAACCGUGUACGUACAAGCAGUGGGAGCACCUUCGGGUGUGACUGCGUACCUUUUGUAUAAUGGGUCAGCGACUUAUAUUCUGUAGCAAGGUUAACCGUAUAGGGGAGCCGCAGGGAAACCGAGUCUUAACUGGGCGUUAAGUUGCAGGGUAUAGACCCGAAACCCGGUGAUCUAGCCAUGGGCAGGUUGAAGGUUGGGUAACACUAACUGGAGGACCGAACCGACUAAUGUUGAAAAAUUAGCGGAUGACUUGUGGCUGGGGGUGAAAGGCCAAUCAAACCGGGAGAUAGCUGGUUCUCCCCGAAAGCU
RNAcentral lists this ribosomal RNA (756 nucleotides) under Klebsiella pneumoniae. RNAcentral describes it as "partial 23S ribosomal RNA". It matches the Rfam family "Bacterial large subunit ribosomal RNA", at positions 67 to 867 of the family's 2925-position model. Lineage: Bacteria; Pseudomonadati; Pseudomonadota; Gammaproteobacteria; Enterobacterales; Enterobacteriaceae. The record is from RNAcentral.